AGAUGGCGGCCGGCGCACGGGUGAGUAACACGUAUCCAACCUGCCGAUAACUCGGGGAUAGCCUUUCGAAAGAAAGAUUAAUACCCGAUGGCAUAAUAGAACCGCAUGGUUUGAUUAUUAAAGAAUUUCGGUUAUCGAUGGGGAUGCGUUCCAUUAGGCAGUUGGUGGGGUAACGGCCCACCAAACCUUCGAUGGAUAGGGGUUCUGAGAGGAAGGUCCCCCACAUUGGUACUGAGACACGGACCAA
RNAcentral lists this ribosomal RNA (247 nucleotides) under uncultured bacterium. Its description in RNAcentral is "partial 16S ribosomal RNA". It matches the Rfam family "Bacterial small subunit ribosomal RNA", at positions 86 to 334 of the family's 1533-position model. The record is from RNAcentral.